Molecule: non-coding RNA, 1480 nt
Organism: Erinaceus europaeus (western European hedgehog)
Lineage: Eukaryota; Metazoa; Chordata; Mammalia; Eulipotyphla; Erinaceidae
Source: the annotation of a RefSeq genome assembly
AUGCUGGGGGUUUACUGUCUGGAGACUGUCCUGGGAGUUGCAGACAGAUAUCUGCAGAAGAAUGGCUACAGGACAUCAUUCAUCGUGACCUCUGAUGGAGGAGACACAUCUCCAGUGGACAGGAAGGAGCCAUCUGUCUUCCCCUUGGUCCCCUGGUGUGGAGACAUCACAAACAGCUCCUCAGUAACACUGGGCUGCCUGGUUUCAGCCUACAUGCCAGGCCCAGUGACUGUGUCAUGGGAUACAGGGGCCUUGAACAAAAACAUCAUAAGCUUUCCUAACACCCUGGAUAUAAGUGGCCUCUACACCACUGUCAGCCAGGUAGAUGUCUCAGGCCACUGGGCAGCAGAGAAAUUCACUUGCAGUGUGAGACAUGGCAUCUCUACUCCCUCCAACAAGACCUUCUCAGUGUGCCCCAAGAACUUCACCAGUCCUUCUGUAAGACUAUUCCACUCCUCCUGCGACCCGAGUGGUAACCUCAAUGCUCUCAUCCAGUUUCGAUGCUUCAUCUCUGGCUACCCUGAGGAAGCCAUCAAAGUCACCUGGCUAGAGAAUGGGCAGGAGCCCCAAAAUGCCUUCUCAUACACGGCACCAGUCAAAAAGGAGGGCAACCUGACCUCCACCUACAGUGAGUUCAAUAUCACCCAGGACCAGUGGGUGGCCCAGACCACUUUCACCUGCCGGGUCAGCUACCAAGGACACAAUUUUGAGGACCACGCCCGCAUGUGCACAGAGGCACAGUCUGAGCCCCGUGGUGUGAGCACCUACCUGAUUCCACCCAGUCCCCUGGACCUGUACAUACACAAUUCACCCAAGAUCACCUGCCUGGUGGUGGACCUGGCCAAUAAGAAUGGGCUGGAAAUGAUCUGGAGCAAGGAGAACCAUCCCUUGGAGUCCCAGGACCAACCAGGUUUCACUGCCUGGAAGCAGUUCAAUGGUACAUUUAGUGCUGUGUCCUCCUUGUCUGUGGAUGCCAAGGACUGGAUUGAAGGGGAGACCUAUACGUGCCAUGUGAAGCAUGAUGACCUGCCUACACUCAUUGAACGCUCCAUCACCAAAACCUCUGAACAUCGUGCCAGCCCCAUCAUGUACGUGUUCUCAUCUGAAACAAAGGAAGACUCCAUGGUCACACUCACCUGCCUGGCCCAGAACUUCUUUCCUGAGGACAUAUCUGUACAGUGGCUACAGAAUGGGAAUGUGGUUCCUAUCCACCAGCUGGUCACCACGCCACCACGCAAGACCAAUGGCUCCAGCCCCGGCUUCUUUGUCUACAGUCGCCUAGAGGUCAAAAAACUUGACUGGGAAAGGGGGGACGUAUUCAUCUGUCGUGUGGUCCAUGAAGCACUGUCACCCCCCAGGACCCUGGAGAAAAAACUGUCCAAAGCCCCUGGUAAUUGAGGAAUCUCUGCUCUUCCCUACCCUGCUGGUAGGGGCAGGUGCACAAACUAGCUGUCCAUUGUUCCAAUAAAUACUCACUUUA